This 215-nucleotide ribosomal RNA is filed under the name Campeiostachys nutans. Its description in RNAcentral is "Elymus nutans partial small subunit ribosomal RNA". The stretch from base 46 to 215 matches the Rfam family "Eukaryotic small subunit ribosomal RNA", at positions 693 to 864 of the family's 1831-position model. Lineage: Eukaryota; Viridiplantae; Streptophyta; Magnoliopsida; Poales; Poaceae. The record is from RNAcentral.
GAAUCAGUACGCCGGUCAUGCUUCGGUACGUACUGGUAUAAUCGGUUUCUCCUUUCUGACGAACUUUAAUGCCAUUAAUUUGGUGUUUUAGGGAAUCAGGACUGUUACUUUGAAAAAAUUAGAGUGUUUAAAGCAGGCUCACGCUUGAAUACAUUAGCAUGGAAUAACGGAAUAGGACGUUUGAUUCUAUUUUGUUGGUUUCUAGGAUCGACGUA